RNAcentral lists this ribosomal RNA (465 nucleotides) under Triticum aestivum (bread wheat). RNAcentral describes it as "partial small subunit ribosomal RNA". The record is from RNAcentral. Lineage: Eukaryota; Viridiplantae; Streptophyta; Magnoliopsida; Poales; Poaceae.
AUGAUUACUCUAUGCUAGAACUGCCAUGGCGUGCGCAAACCCGCGGCAGUUUGAGAACUUUGCGAUUUCGCAAGGAAGUUUGCCCCUACCGUGCUAUGUAUAGUUGAAACACAAAUAAAGGGAGCACGUCUAGAAGCUCUAGCGAGUACUUUGGGGUAUGAUAAUGCUUAUGCGAUAGAUAGCCAAGGCAGGAGUGGUGGUAUUGGUAUGUUCUGGAACAAUACAAUGAAGGUUGAGAUCUUGGGAGACUCAGUAUACCAUAUAGAUGCAAAUAUUGUGGAGAAUGAUGGGGACCCGUGGAGGUUCACUUGUUUUUACGGUGAGGCCCAAACCAACUCGAGACACCAGACAUGGGAUCUAAUGAAAGGAUUGAAGGAAAUAUGCCCUAGAGGCAAUAAUGAAGUUGUUAUUUAUAUUUACUUAUAUCAUGAUGAAUGUUUAUUAUUCAUGCUAGAAUUGUAUUAA